CGUCUGAUUAGCUAGUUGGUGUGGUAAGAGCGCACCAUAGGCGACGAUCAGUAGCUGGUCUGAGAGGAUGAUCGUAGCCACACUGGGACUGAGACUGACGGCCCAGACUCCUACGGGAGGCAGCAGUGGGGAAUUUUCCGCAAUGGGCGAAAGCCUGACGGAGCAAUACCGCGUGAGGGAGGAAGGCUCUUGGGUUGUAAACCUCUUUUCUCAAGGAAUAAGAAAGUGAAGGUACUUGAGGAAUAAGCAUCGGCUAACUCCGUGCCAGCAGCCGCGGUAAUACGGAGGAUGCAAGCGUUAUCCGGAAUGAUUGGGCGUAAAGGGUCCGCAGGUGGCACUGAAAGUCUGCUGUUAAAGAGUGAGGCUCAACCUCAUAAGAGCAGUGGAAACUACAGAGCUAGAGUGCGUUCGGGGUAGCAGGAAUUCCUGGUGUAGCGGUGAAAUGCGUAGAGAUCAGGAAGAACACCGGUGGCGAAAGCGUGCUACUAGGCCGUAACUGACACUGAGGGACGAAAGCUAGGGGAGCGAAUGGGAUUAGAUACCCCAGUAGUCCUAGCCGUAAACGAUGGAUACUAGGCGUGGCUUGUAUCGACCCGAGCCGUGCCGGAGCUAACGCGUUAAGUAUCCCGCCUGGGGGAGUACGCACGCAAGUGUGAAACUCAAAGGAAUUGACGGGGGCCCGCACAAGCGGUGGAGUAUGGUGGUUUAAUUCGAUGCAACGCGAAGAACCUUACCAAGACUUGACAUGUCGCGAAUCUUUCUGAAAGGGAGGAGUGCCUUAGGGAGCGCGAACACAGGUGGUGCAUGGCUGUCGUCAGCUCAUGUCUGAGAUGUUGGGUUAAGUCCCGCAACGAGCGCAACCCUCGUCUUUAGUUGCCAGCAUUAGAUGAACUCUGGGGACUGCUAGAGAGACUGCCGGUGACAAACCGGAGGAAGGUGGGGAUGACGUCAAGUCAGCAUGCCCCUUACGUCUUGGGCUACACACGUACUACAAUGCUACGGACAAAGGGCAGCAAGACAGCGAUGUCAAGCAAAUCUCAGAAACCGUAGCUCAGUUCAGAUCGAAGGCUGCAACUCGCCUUCGUGAAGGAGGAAUCGCUAGUAAUUGCAGGUCAGCAUACUGCAGUGAAUUCGUUCCCGGGCCUUGUACACACCGCCCGUC
Molecule: ribosomal RNA, 1162 nt
Filed under: Trichormus anomalus MBDU 629
Lineage: Bacteria; Bacillati; Cyanobacteriota; Cyanophyceae; Nostocales; Nostocaceae
Description: bacterial SSU rRNA
Rfam family: Bacterial small subunit ribosomal RNA
Source: RNAcentral